Molecule: ribosomal RNA, 24 nt
Filed under: Fusarium solani
Lineage: Eukaryota; Fungi; Ascomycota; Sordariomycetes; Hypocreales; Nectriaceae
Also listed under: 2 other names
Description: partial large subunit ribosomal RNA
Source: RNAcentral
UUGACCUCGAAUCAGGUAGGAAUA